UCUCCGUAGGUGAACCUGCGGAGGGAUCAUUACAGAGUUCAUGCCCUAACGGGUAGAUCUCCCACCCUAUGUUAUCAUCACUUUGUUGCUUUGGCGGGCCGUCAGGCCUCGGCUUGGCUACUGGCUCUCGCUGGUAAGCGCCCGCCAGAGAACCCCAAACCCUGAAUAUCAGUGUCGUCUGAGUACUAUAUAAUAGUUAAAACUUUCAACAACGGAUCUCUUGGCUCUG
This 229-nucleotide unclassified non-coding RNA is filed under the name plant metagenome. RNAcentral's name for it is "partial contains small subunit ribosomal RNA, internal transcribed spacer 1, and 5.8S ribosomal RNA". The record is from RNAcentral.